CCUGGCUCAGAUUGAACGCUGGCGGUAUGCUUAACACAUGCAAGUCGAACGGCAGCAUGGUCUAGCUUGCUAGACUGAUGGCGAGUGGCGAACGGGUGAGUAACGCGUAGGAAUAUGCCUUAAAGAGCGGGACAACUUGGGGAAACUCAAGCUAAUACCGCAUAAUGUCUGAGGACAAAAGCUGGGGACCUUCGGGCCUGGCGCUUUAAGAUUAGCCU
This 218-nucleotide ribosomal RNA is filed under the name uncultured bacterium. RNAcentral describes it as "partial 16S ribosomal RNA". It matches the Rfam family "Bacterial small subunit ribosomal RNA", at positions 18 to 232 of the family's 1533-position model. The record is from RNAcentral.